RNAcentral lists this ribosomal RNA (253 nucleotides) under uncultured bacterium. RNAcentral's name for it is "partial 16S ribosomal RNA". It matches the Rfam family "Bacterial small subunit ribosomal RNA", at positions 524 to 776 of the family's 1533-position model. The record is from RNAcentral.
UACAUAGGGUGCAAGCGUUGUCCGGAAUUAUUGGGCGUAAAGAGCUCGUAGGUGGUUCGUUACGUCGGAUGUGAAAAUCUGGGGCUCAACCCCAGACCUGCAUUCGAUACGGGCGAACUAGAGUGUGGUAGGGGAGACUGGAAUUCCUGGUGUAGCGGUGGAAUGCGCAGAUAUCAGGAGGAAUACCAGUGGCGAAGGCGACCCCCUGGGCCAAUACUGACGCUGAGGUACGAAAGCGUGGGUAGCGAACAGG